Cucurbita maxima (winter squash) is the source of this 863-nucleotide long non-coding RNA. RefSeq lists it as uncharacterized. Lineage: Eukaryota; Viridiplantae; Streptophyta; Magnoliopsida; Cucurbitales; Cucurbitaceae. The record is from RefSeq and is a predicted model, not a curated record. The transcript is spliced from 2 exons.
ACCUCCCAUUGCCCAAUUCUCUCUGUUUCUGCUUGUGAGGGAAACACAACAAAGAACUUGCCCCAAAUUGAACGGGAUGGGUUGGAGUUGAGGUGUUGUGUGGGGUUGGUUAACUAAGAGAUUUGGACACCUAAUUGGUUUUUCCAAUAAAGACAAUGGGAUUGGCUUGUAAAAGUGGAAAUGAUAACGAAAUGGCCAAGAACUUGGCCACUUUUUGGCUUCCGUCCAGAAAUUACAAAAAUUUAAGUUCGUUUAAGACGAAAUUAUUAAAUAUGUCUUUAUUCACAUGGGUCGGUGAAGGCCACUUAUAGAGAAUGGGCAUCCACAAGGGCGUUACACCUGCACCCAUCUUUCAUGCUCUCAUUAUUUAUUAUUAAUUAAUUUUAAUUUUAUUCAAGUUAUGCUUAUAACUAUGCUGUCUACAUUUUUUUUAAUGGGUUAUUUAUUUAUUUUUUAAAAUGUGAUUUAUUUCGUUGAAGGAGAAGAGAAGAGAAUCUGUCCGAGGCGAAGCAGCCUGGCGGAGGGAUAGUACAGCUGGCUUCAUCAUGGUAGCCUUUAUGCUCAGUGCGAGUAGGGCUGGAAUUUCGAAUUUCGAAUAAAUUAUUAUUUGUUGAAGGAUCCUCGAAAGGAAACUUCCGAAUGCGAGCGUGAAUCGACUCUGCUUUCAUCUUCAUCGCUCAACGCAAUCAAUCGCGAGGAGAAACUAAAAUGGAGGACAAUCGCCGUUUCUGUGAAAUAGAUGAAAGGAUCUUCAAUCGAUAAUCGGUUCAUCGAAAUGCACAGAACAUUUUCAUUCUAUUAGCAAACAUCAAGCGAUUUACACCAUUCCAUUCUUUCAUCAAUCAACUCUAUUUUCCACUAAA